CUGGCAUGCUGUCUCACGGGCACCGUCCCUCCGUGUGUGCAUCCGCGGGCACAGGGUCGACCUCUGGUCGCUGCUGGACCGCUCCUGUCUGCCCAUCUGAACCCUCCAUCCUCCGGGUACCGCUCCCGUCCCCCAGAAGGGCGAGUCUCUCUCUGGGCUUCAGAGGUGACAAUUAUCCCCACAUUCACUGUGUGGGGAACAUCCGUUAGAGUGAAAAUGACAGGGGGACUCUUACUUCCUCCUCAUCAGAGCCCCCUGAGGUGGGUCAGCUCGUCCCACCAUGCAGGUGAGCACACCUGAGGCUGGAGAUGUCACUCAACUGCCAGGGCCAGGCAUGAGUCAGGGCAGGUUCUCAUCCGCCUCAGAAAACACAGGUUUUCUCACUCCCUUUAGCACAAUCUCAUUCCCCGGUAAUUAAAAACGUCCAGCGCCAUGGGACAGCCAAGGCUCCACAGUCAUUUAAAGUGAAAGGUUUCUCCACGCAGAUUUGAUUUCGAGGCAUCACUGUGCACUGAAAGGAACCAGGGUUCCUUGGAGAAACUGUUCAGGUCAGCUACGGCGCAGAAAAGGGAGAUGAGCCCAAGGAUGGCACCUGCGCCAGAGCAGUCACCCAAGCCGCUGCAGUGACAAUGCCAGACCCCUAACCCACUGAGCCACCGGGGAACUCUGACCCCAGAGUGUGUUUAAAACGACACAGGACCCAACGGGAAGGCUCACCAGUUCACCCAAGAUUGGACAAUCUGAGCAUCAAAACGAAGGAUGACAGCAACCGAAUAGACACAAACUCAUAGGCUCCCAAUAAUAACACGAAAACAAAGUCCGACAAAGAACAAAAACCCCAAACCCACUGGCUCUCUUUGGAGGCAGGGAGGAUUGAAGAUGGAAAGCAGAGACUCCAGCCUCUGGGCGGCCCUUCCUAUACGGAGAAACCCGGCAGCUGAUGGGGGGAGAUUCUUAAUAGAAGAACCCAGCUAAUUAAUACACAGGUAAUCACGUUCUUAGAAAAUUAGUUUUGCAAAGAAACGGUGAAGCAAGGGGAUGACCGCUGGGGCUAUUAAAAGCCAUCAGCAGUGAUGUGAGAACCGAGGAGACCCAUCCCGAGGAUGUUUGGAUCCUGGUUUGAGUACAUGAACCAAAAAUUUCAUUCUGGAGUCAAGGGGAAAACUGAGCAUGAGCUGCCUAUUAGGUAUCACAUGGUAUGGGCUGACCACUGAGAGUGGUUGGGUGUGAGCAGUGCACUGUGGUUGUGUUUCUUUUAAUGUCCUGAGGUAUUAGAGACACACACGGAAGUACUUAUCAGGAUUGUGAGGCCGUGUCUGCAACGGGCUUUAAAAUCCUCCAGAAGAAAUGGCGUUGGGGACAAACAGGUAUAACAUAAAAGGCAGACUCUUGGGAGCUGUUCGUCGUGGCUCAGUGGUUAACGAAUCUGACUAGGCACCGCAAGGUUGCGGAGGGGAUGCCAGUACUUGCUGUUCUUUAACCUUCCCAUGUCUUGCUUCGCAAUUUUGAUACCAAAUCAGUGUGAAACACGUUCUAGUUCUCUGUCCACAAACCACAGUCGCCCGCAUUUGGUCUGGAUGGUGGGGCCUGUGUGGCCAAAAAUGAAACUCACCCUCCUCCGUUCACAGGUUCCUCCAACGCACGUUUCACCUCCACGCACGGUCAGGUUGGGGGGUGUCUGGGAUCAGCGAAGUGGCAGCGACGCGUGACAGGUCCAACCGGAGUAUCUGAUGCCUUCGAAGAAGGCAUGGAAGGAGUGAAACCAAACACAAGUACCAAGGAAGAG
This 1786-nucleotide long non-coding RNA is filed under the name Sus scrofa (pig). RNAcentral's name for it is "lncRNA (ENSSSCG00050051842.1)". The record is from RNAcentral. Lineage: Eukaryota; Metazoa; Chordata; Mammalia; Artiodactyla; Suidae.